RNAcentral lists this ribosomal RNA (434 nucleotides) under uncultured bacterium. Its description in RNAcentral is "partial 16S ribosomal RNA". It matches the Rfam family "Bacterial small subunit ribosomal RNA", at positions 29 to 507 of the family's 1533-position model. The record is from RNAcentral.
AGCGAACGCUGGCGGCAGGCCUAACACAUGCAAGUCGAACGAACCUUUCGGGGUUAGUGGCGGACGGGUGAGUAACACGUGGGAACGUGCCUUUAGGUUCGGAAUAACUCAGGGAAACUUGUGCUAAUACCGAAUGUGCCCUUCGGGGGAAAGAUUAAUCGCCUUUAGAGCGGCCCGCGUCUGAUUAGCUAGUUGGUUGAGGUAAUGGCUCACCAAGGCGACGAUCAGUAGCUGGUCUGAGAGGAUGAUCAGCCACAUUGGGACUGAGACACGGCCCAAAAUCCUACGGGAGGAAGCAGUGGGGAAUCUUGCGAAAUGGGCGAAAGACUGACGCAGCCAUGCCGCGUGAAUGAUGAAGGUCUUAGGAUUGUAAAAUUCUUUAACCGGGGACGAUAAUGACGGUACCCGGAGAAGAAGCCCCGGCUAACUUCGUG